AUGAGUUGUCCUGAUGGCAUCAACAUCUCCGAUGGCAAGUUCUACCUAGGAGAUGUUGGCUAUGCAUGUCAGCCAGGUGUUCUUCCACCCUUAAGGAAAAUCAGGUACCAUCUGAACGAGUUCGCUAGUAACUAUCCUAGAACUCCACAUGAGUUGUUUAAUCUCAGACACUCCAGCCUUAGAGUUACUGUUGAGAGGGCAUUUGGAGCUCUGAAGAACAGAUUUAAGAUCCUAGAUCAGAAGCCAUUCCACACUUUCCCCACCCUGAUUAAGAUUGUGCUUGACUAUUACAUUCUGCAUAACUGGAUCCUGCAAUGUGGUUGUGAUGAACUGGUGCCCGAGGAAGAUGUGACACCUGGCGAUGUUGUCAGCUCCGGCCAUGGUGUCGAGCCAUUUGACAAUGAAGGUUGAAAGAACAAAAGGAUGGAGUUGUCACAGACAAUGUGGAAUAACAGAGGUCAGACAAGGAUCUAG
This 474-nucleotide ribosomal RNA is filed under the name Triticum aestivum (bread wheat). Its description in RNAcentral is "partial small subunit ribosomal RNA". Lineage: Eukaryota; Viridiplantae; Streptophyta; Magnoliopsida; Poales; Poaceae. The record is from RNAcentral.